ACCUUUAUACACAUAAAUAUAAAACCCAAAUAAAACUAAAUAUUAUAAUUCUCACUUAAAAAAUUAAACAAAAAACCUAAAUAAAAACUUUAUUCACUCAUCUCUCAAAUAUUUUUUUAUUUCUAUAAACCAAUUAUUCUUUUAAAUAUCACAUAUUUAACAAUAAACGAUUACUCAAAAACCCUAUUAUAAUAAAAUUUCCAUAUUUAAAAUAUAUAAAAA
This 222-nucleotide unclassified non-coding RNA is filed under the name Hevea brasiliensis (rubber tree). The record is from RNAcentral. Lineage: Eukaryota; Viridiplantae; Streptophyta; Magnoliopsida; Malpighiales; Euphorbiaceae.